Molecule: long non-coding RNA, 376 nt
Organism: Rattus norvegicus (Norway rat)
Lineage: Eukaryota; Metazoa; Chordata; Mammalia; Rodentia; Muridae
Source: RefSeq, a predicted model, not a curated record
AGAUGGCUCCCCCUACCAUGAGGAUUUAAAAAAAAAAAAAAACAAGACGAAAAUGCCAGUCCCAGAAGCCAGGGUUCCUGGACCCCCAGAGCUGAGAUGGGCUCGGGGAGCCCCACAGGGGCGGGGAGGCCGGACGAGCCUGAAGAAGUGGAGGAGAGAGCUACACAACUUAAGUGGGGCAUCCCCAGCCCAGCUGCCUGCUCAUCCUCCUUUGCGCCCAGGUCCAUUUCUACAACACCCCCCCCCCCCCAAAGAAGUCACUCGGAGGUUCUGUCUGCAGAGAGCCAGGGUGAGAACGGGCAAAUCGAGAGAGCGACCUCGGUCGUGGGCAAGUAGCUUGUUUUUACGUCCUUCAAUAAAAAUUUUAUGAGGAUCA